GCCUUAGCCACCGCCAUGACGACCUCGUCCACCUGGCAGGUGCGCCACAACUACCACCAGGACUCAGAGACUACCAUCAACUGCCAGAUCAGCCUGGAGCUCUACGCCUCCUACAUUUACCUGUCCAUGUCUUACUACUUUGACCGCCAUAAUGUGGCCUUGAAGAACUUUGCCAAAUACUUUCUUCACCAAUCUCAUGAGGAGAGGGAACAUGCCGAGAAACUGAUGAAACUGCAGAACCAACGAAGUGGCCGAAUCUUCCUUCAGGAUAUCAAGAAACCAGACUAUGACGACUGAGAGAGUGGGCUGAAUGCGACGGAGUGUGAAUUAUAUUUGGAAAAAAAAUGUGAAUCAGUCACUACUGGAACUGCACAAACUGGCCACUGACAAAAAUGACCCCCAUUUGUGUGACUUCAUUGAGACACAUUACCUGAAUGAGCAGGUGAAAGCCAUCAAAGAAUUGGGUGACCAACUUGCACAAGAUGGGAGCACUCGAAUCUGGCUUGGCAGAGUAUCUCUUUGACAAGCACACCCUGGGAGACAGUGAUAAUGAAAGCUAAGCCUCAGGCGAAUUUCCCCAUAGCCAUGGGGUGACUUCCCUGGUCACCAAGGCAGUGCAUGCAUGUUGGGGUUUCCUUUACCUUUUCUAUACGUUGUACCAAAACAUCCACUUAAGUUCUUUGAUUUGUACCAUUCCUUCAAAAAAGAAAUCUGGUACCC
Piliocolobus tephrosceles (Ugandan red Colobus) is the source of this 720-nucleotide RNA transcript. It is a transcript of the gene named ferritin heavy chain pseudogene, with no coding region annotated. Lineage: Eukaryota; Metazoa; Chordata; Mammalia; Primates; Cercopithecidae. The transcript has a single exon. The record is from RefSeq and is a predicted model, not a curated record.